This 390-nucleotide unclassified non-coding RNA is filed under the name soil metagenome. RNAcentral describes it as "partial contains 5.8S ribosomal RNA, internal transcribed spacer 2, and large subunit ribosomal RNA". The stretch from base 1 to 122 matches the Rfam family "5.8S ribosomal RNA", at positions 35 to 154 of the family's 154-position model. The record is from RNAcentral.
GAUGAAGAACGUAGCGAAAUGCGAUACUUGGUGUGAAUUGCAGAAUCCCGCGAAUCAUCGAGUUUUUGAACGCAAGUUGCGCCCGAAGCCAUUCGGCCGAGGGCACGUCUGCCUGGGUGUCACGCAUCGUUGCCCCCCCAAACUCCGGUUCGGGCGGGGCGGAAGUUGGCCUCCCGUGCGUGCCUGUGCGCGCGGUUAGCCCAAAAGCGAGUCCUCGGCGAUGAGCGCCACGACAAUCGGUGGUUUUUUUACCCUCGUUCCUCGUCGUGCGUGCCCCGUCGCCCGAACGCGCUCUUGCAACCCUUACGCGUCGCCUCGGUGGCGCUCCCAACGCGACCCCAGGUCAGGCGGGACUACCCGCUGAGUUUAAGCAUAUCAAUAAGCGGAGGA